CCUACGGGAGGCAGCAGGAGGGAAUAUGGAGCAAUGGGGGAAACCCGGAAGAAGAAAAGAAGAGGGGAGGAUGAAGGUGGGAGGAGGGGAAACUCCUCUUGUUAGAGAAGAUAAUGACGGUAUCUAACGAAUAAGCACCGGCUAACUCCGUGCCAGCAGCCGCGGUAAUACGGAGGGUGCAAGCGUUACUCGGAAUCACUGGGCGUAAAGAGCGCGUAGGCGGGAUAGCAAGUCAGAUGUGAAAUCCUAUGGCUUAACCAUAGAACUGCAUUUGAAACUGUUAUUCUAGAGUAUGGGAGAGGUAGGUGGAAUUCUUGGUGUAGGGGUAAAAUCCGUAGAGAUCAAGAGGAAUACUCAUUGCGAAGGCGACCUGCUAGAACAUAACUGACGCUGAUGCGCGAAAGCGUGGGGAGCAAACAGGAUUAGAUACCCUUGUAGUC
Molecule: ribosomal RNA, 440 nt
Filed under: uncultured bacterium
Lineage: Bacteria
Description: partial 16S ribosomal RNA
Rfam family: Bacterial small subunit ribosomal RNA
Source: RNAcentral